Molecule: ribosomal RNA, 253 nt
Filed under: uncultured bacterium
Lineage: Bacteria
Description: partial 16S ribosomal RNA
Rfam family: Bacterial small subunit ribosomal RNA
Source: RNAcentral
UACAGAGGGUGCGAGCGUUGUUCGGAAUUAUUGGGCGUAAAGAGCGCGUAGGCGGUUUGCUAAGUCUGAUGUGAAAGCCCUCGGCUUAACUGAGGAAGUGCAUUGGAUACUGGCAGGCUAGAGUGUGAGAGAGGAUCGUGGAAUUCCUGGUGUAGCGGUGAAAUGCGUAGAUAUCAGGAGGAACACCGGUGGCGAAGGCGGCGAUCUGGAUCAUAACUGACGCUGAGGCGCGAAAGCGUGGGUAGCAAACAGG